CCUCCUCCCCCUCCAAAGGAAAUAUAUUAUUAUUUCCUUUUCAGAUUGAUAUUCCAGUUAAUGUUGCUAUAUAUUCAGUUAUAAAUUUUCUUUUUUGUAGGAAACAGAGCUUCAGAAACCUGUUGUGAUUCAUCUUGGUCAAUAUACAGUUAACGAAGACUCAGUUUCACAAGAAGAUAGUAAUGACUCUGAUGAUAAUUUUCCUUCUGAACUGUAUCGUAUUCAAAAAAAUUUACAGAAAGCUGAGGAACAGAGUGUAGAGUAUGUGAAGAAAAUUGAGAUUCUGCAGAAAAUUAGACAUGAACAAAAAAGAAUUAUUUCUGAUCUAAAACUUAUGAUAAAGCAUUUGAAAAAAAAGAAUGCAAUGAAUGAUGAUGACUUGGAAGAUACGGCAGAUGCAUUUGAUGAGCUAGAAGCUGUAUCAGACACAGCGAAAUGACACUGGUGAAGACAUGGAAACUCUGUGAAAUGCAUUGAAAGAUAGAAUCAAAUCAAGUGGGUUUUCCUCUAACAAUUAAAAAUAGCUGAAAAUUAUUUUACUAAAAUGAUAUUAAUAAUCAAGUACUUUUAACCUUAACUAUUUUAAACAAUUUUCUGUGUAAUAAUAUCUUAUGAUAAACUGCCCUCCGGUUGUUCUCAAAUUUAUAUAUGUAUAUGUGUAUUUAUAUAUGUGUUAUAUAUGUAAAUACUCAAACAUGUUAUCUUGAUUUGUACAGCCAACCAUGUGAUUCUAAAUUAAAGACAAAUUAUUUACAGGG
Long non-coding RNA from Stegodyphus dumicola, 758 nucleotides. Lineage: Eukaryota; Metazoa; Arthropoda; Arachnida; Araneae; Eresidae. The record is from RefSeq and is a predicted model, not a curated record.